UACGAAGGGGGCGAGCGUUGUUCGGAUUUACUGGGCGUAAAGGGCGCGCAGGCGGCUUUGCAUGUCAGGCGUGAAAGCCCCGGGCUUAACCUGGGAACUGCGUUUGAUACGGCAGGGCUAGAGUUCGGGAGAGGAGAGUGGAAUUCCCAGUGUAGAGGUGAAAUUCGUAGAUAUUGGGAAGAACACCGGUGGCGAAGGCGGCUCUCUGGACCGAUACUGACGCUGAGGAGCGAAAGCGUGGGGAGCGAACAGG
This 253-nucleotide ribosomal RNA is filed under the name uncultured bacterium. RNAcentral's name for it is "partial 16S ribosomal RNA". It matches the Rfam family "Bacterial small subunit ribosomal RNA", at positions 524 to 776 of the family's 1533-position model. The record is from RNAcentral.